This 251-nucleotide ribosomal RNA is filed under the name uncultured bacterium. RNAcentral describes it as "partial 16S ribosomal RNA". It matches the Rfam family "Archaeal small subunit ribosomal RNA", at positions 474 to 727 of the family's 1478-position model. The record is from RNAcentral.
UACCAGCACCCCGAGUGGUCGGGACGUUUAUUGGGCCUAAAGCAUCCGUAGCCGGUUCUACAAGUCUUCCGUUAAAUCCAGCUGCUUAACAGAUGGGCUGCGGAAGAUACUAUGGAGCUAGGAGGCGGGAGAGGCAAGCGGUACUCGAUGGGUAGGGGUAAAAUCCGUUGAUCCAUUGAAGACCACCAGUGGCGAAGGCGGCUUGCCAGAACGCGCUCGACGGUGAGGGAUGAAAGCUGGGGAGCAACCGG